CGCCAUCUGAAGCAAAGAGCAUACUUCCUGCGGACACUUUUUUGGCUGAGUGGCCCAUCUUGUUAUUUACUAUCAUUGGUGAUAGACCCUGCCUCAGACCAUAUCGUGCUCUCUCUCUCUGCGUGUUCACUAACAGUCACAUAUAUACGAGGUGUGCACACUGACAGUCACAUAUACACGAGGUGUGCACACUGACAGUCACACACAUGAGGUGUGCACUCGAUCAGUCACAUAUACACGAGGUGUGCACACCGACAGUCACACACACGAGGUGUGCACACCGACAGUCGCGCGCGUUGUUCAGGGAACUCCCUGUGUGUUUUAGUGCCUUCUGUUAUCAAGUUUUGAUGGACAACACCCCAUCUAGAGCCUUUAGCCUGACAUCUCAUGUUUUGGUUCGUUUUUACACUUUUGAACUCGCUUUCACUGUCCACUGUCGGUGGAAUUAUUUCAUAGACCUGGCUUUUUGUGAAUGUCGUUAGGGCUUUCUCUGAAUACAUCAAGUACCUUCCUACGCAUCCAUCCAAGUUUUUAUCUUUGCUGUUAUGUCUUCCCAAUCUGUGGUUCUGGUUCUAUUCUCUUACUCUCUUUUAUCCUCUCUCUCUCUCCUUCUCCCUCUAUCUGACUCUCUCUCUCUCUCUUUUUCUCUCUCUUUCUCUCUCUCUCUUUCUCUCUCUCACUACAAAAGGAGCCUAUAGACCUGUACAUAUAAUAAUGUGGAACAUUGACAUUCUAUAAAUGACUAUCAGGUUGAUAGAUUGUUUAAGCCUAGGUUUAUUUUCUCUCUCUCUCUCUCCCUGCCUCCAGACGCGCUGUUUCAAUGUCAACUGAAUGCUCUCCAGUGUUUUGAUGUGCUUUUCUUGAACUCAUAUUAUAAUCUGAUAUGCUAUGCUAGGUGUUUUACGGCGCAAUUAACACAAUAAUGAUCAUGACUCGUAUCUACCUCUGUGCUGAUGACGUGGUUGAGGUAGUAGAUUGGGCCCAGUUUUGGAAGGUUUAAGUUCAAAGCUGCCUCUCAGUCUCUUGUUGUAGAAUGUUAGAUGAUUGUGACAAAAAAUUUGGACUCCAUUAGAUUCUCUUCCCGAGACGACAGAAUUUUCACAAAAAUUGACACAUUGUAUGUAAAAUUAUGACACAGAUAUCUAUGCGUGUCACUUGAAAGUAAAAACAAUACUACUAGCGUUGCUAGCGUCAGAUAACUCUGUACGGCAAGGGGAAAUAAUAAUUGCAAAUAUUUAACUCUUGUUUGUAUUUAGUGAAUUAUUUCCCUUGUGCUACUUUUCGACUGCAGUAGGGAUACUAGACAGCUAGCGACAGAUUUCGAAAACAAUUUUGUUUAAAAUAGAGGUAAAGCUCGGAAACUGAUUUCAUUCAGAGAAUAUUAUUUUCGUACGUACGUCAUGAUUUCAUUCGAAAGUGUCCGGGGUGGGGGGUGGGAGUUGGUUGUACAAGAAAGCAAAGACAAAACUGACAUGCUCGUCCUUAGAUGGAGAACUUUUUCUCCUCCUUUCGGCCUAAUGUCACACUGAGGUUCCACAGGAAAUGUAAGCCAGUCUGGAUUAUCAAAGAGGCAAAAUGCUCCAGUGUAAACACUCCUUUAAAAUCUUGUUUUGUAGAAAUCAUAUUUGAAGGCCUAUCAGACCAACUUUUCUGUACACACAGAUUACAUGGGAGCAUUAUUCCGAAAGAAUUGGUCGUGUGCAUUCAAUCGAAAAAACUUUCCUAAAUAUGAACGCCUAGGAAUAGGAGAAAUUUUACUCCUGUAUGUUGAUGUGAUUGUCAAAGAUUGCUGUUGGUGUUUGAGAAUGAGAUUACAGCUCUACAAGACACACUCAGAGGUUUGUCGAAGGCAGGUAUCACCCUCUGAAGACUAUCAUUCAUGGUCUUUUUUGUCGCAACAGACCAGACCCGACAGGAGCAGACCGCCACCCCACUCCCCACUCUCCAAUCUCUGGUUCCCCCACCCCCUGAUCCCUCUCCCCAUUCCCUUCCCAACCCCUCCCCAACCCCUCCCCACCCACUCACCCACCACCCCUGGUUCCAAACUCUGAUGAUACAUAUAUCGCCACUAGAGUAGACCAGAAGUCUAUAUUAGACAGUUUGUGACAAGUAAGUAGCACCCACACUGGCCAGGGAGUUGGGCAAACUGUAGGAGGGAGAGCAAGAUAUUUAUAUCCCCCCUCUCUCCCCUCCCCUUCUCUCCUCUUAAGGAUUCCGUUGAGAAAAUCGUCUCUGGCCAAGACAAGAUAAUGAGACAUAGUUACUAUUGUUAAGUUAAGAUAAGAUACAUCUUUGGUUGCUACUUGUAUAAAACAAGGUUCUUAAUUUACAGCUUCUUCCCUUUGUGACUGUUCUUUCAUUAUAUUAAUAUAUUGCUAGUUGUUUGUGCUUGCUUGUUGGGAGCAGGCCUUGGCUCAGGGGCCUUGAUGACAGGCCUUGAUUGUGGGCCUCAUUUGUUCCCCUGUUAGUGUCAGUCUUUCUGUGAUGAAUGAAUGUCUGUAAUUAAUUCAGUUUUGGAUGUCAAUACACUUCUCUUUCCAAACAA
This is a long non-coding RNA of Aplysia californica (California sea hare), 2545 nucleotides long. RefSeq lists it as uncharacterized. The record is from RefSeq and is a predicted model, not a curated record. The transcript is spliced from 2 exons. Lineage: Eukaryota; Metazoa; Mollusca; Gastropoda; Aplysiida; Aplysiidae.